This 265-nucleotide non-coding RNA is filed under the name Brevibacillus sp. Its description in RNAcentral is "T-box sequence". It matches the Rfam family "T-box leader". Rfam says of the family: Uncharged tRNA acts as the effector for transcription antitermination of genes in the T-box leader family. T-boxes are found upstream of many aminoacyl-tRNA synthetase genes and some amino acid biosynthetic genes usually in Gram-positive bacteria. The anticodon of a specific tRNA base pairs to a specifier sequence within the T-box motif, and the NCCA acceptor tail of the tRNA base pairs to a conserved bulge in the T-box antiterminator hairpin. The record is from RNAcentral. Lineage: Bacteria; Bacillati; Bacillota; Bacilli; Caryophanales; Paenibacillaceae.
UCGAUGGCAAUGAGGGAGAAGAGUAGUCAUUUUUCGAGACGGCAGAGAGCUGAUGGUUGGUGCGAAUCAGUGUCAAGGAAAUGGUGAAUGGGCUCCCGAGCUCCAAACCGAACCCGUUUUUCAAAAGCGGCAGUAGGCUUUGGCGUGACGUCCGUACGUUACAAAGGACACCGUAUCAAAACGGUACGGAACAAAGCGAUUUUGCGCAUGGCUUUUCCCGUGUGCAAAAUAACAAGGGUGGCACCACGGUUCAUUCGUCCCUGUC